Molecule: ribosomal RNA, 1174 nt
Filed under: uncultured bacterium
Lineage: Bacteria
Description: bacterial SSU rRNA
Rfam family: Bacterial small subunit ribosomal RNA
Source: RNAcentral
UGGGGGAUAGCCGGCCCAACGGCCGGGUAAUACCGCAUACGUUCAUCGAGCGGCAUCGCUUGGUGAGGAAACCUCCGGGGCAAAUCGAGGUGCUCGCGGCCUAUCAGCUAGUUGGUGAGGUAACGGCUCACCAAGGCGACGACGGGUAGCUGGUCUGAGAGGAUGGCCAGCCACAUUGGGACUGCGACACGGCCCAGACUCCUACGGGAGGCAGCAGUGGGGAAUAUUGCGCAAUGGACGAAAGUCUGACGCAGCGACGCCGCGUGUGGGAUGAAGCCUUUCGGGGCGUAAACCACUGUUGCCCGGGACGAACCUCCCCAUUCGUGGGGACUGACGGUACCGGGUGAGGAAGCACCGGCUAACUCUGUGCCAGCAGCCGCGGUAAUACAGAGGGUGCGAGCGUUGUCCGGAAUCACUGGGCGUAAAGGGCGCGUAGGUGGCUAGGUAAGCGUGUGGUGAAAGUCCGGGGCUCAACCCCGGAUCUGCCGUGCGAACUGCCAAGCUUGAGCGAUGUAGAGGCAGGUGGAAUUUCGGGUGUAGCGGUGGAAUGCGUAGAGAUCCGAAAGAACACCAGUGGCGAAGGCGGCCUGCUGGGCAUUUGCUGACACUGAGGCGCGACAGCGUGGGGAGCAAACAGGAUUAGAUACCCUGGUAGUCCACGCCGUAAACGAUGGGUACUAGGUGUCUGGGGGAGCGACCCCCUGGGUGCCGACGCUAACGCAUGAAGUACCCCGCCUGGGGAGUACGGCCGCAAAGGCUGAAACUCAAAGGAAUUGACGGGGGCCCGCACAAGCGGGUGGAGCAUGUGGUUUAAUUCGACGCAACGCGAAGAACCUUACCUAGGCUUGACAUGCUGGAGAAAGCUUGCGGAAACGUGAGCCCCUCUUCGGAGUUCCAGCACAGAUGCUGCAUGGCUGUCGUCAGCUCGUGUCGUGAGAUGUUGGGUUAAGUCCCGCAACGAGCGCAACCCUCACCCUUAGUUACCAGCGGGUAAAGCCGGGGACUCUAGGGGGACUGCCGGUGCCAAACCGGAGGAAGGCGGGGAUGACGUCAAGUCAUCAUGGCUUCUUACGUCUAGGGCUACACACGUGCUACAAAUGGGCCGGACAGCGGGUCGCUAGCUCGCGAGAGUAUGCCAAUCCCCAAACCGGUCCUCAGUUCGGAUUGUAGUCUG